Molecule: ribosomal RNA, 443 nt
Filed under: uncultured bacterium
Lineage: Bacteria
Description: partial 16S ribosomal RNA
Rfam family: Bacterial small subunit ribosomal RNA
Source: RNAcentral
CCUACGGGGGGCAGCAGUGGGGGAUAUUGGACAAUGGGGGGAACCCUGAUCCAGCGACGCCGCGUGAGUGAAGAAGUAUUUCGGUAUGUAAAGCUCUGUCAGCAGGGAAGAAAGAAAUGACGGUACCUGACCAAGAAGCCCCGGCUAACUACGUGCCAGCAGCCGCGGUAAUACGUAGGGGGCAAGCGUUAUCCGGAAUUACUGGGUGUAAAGGGAGCGUAGACGGUUAAGUAAGUCUGGAGUGAAAGGCCGGGGCCCAACCCCGGGACUGCUCUGGAAACUAUUGAACUUGAGUGCAGGGGAGGUAAGCGGAAGUCCUAGUGUAGCGGUGAAAUGCGUAGAUAUUAGGAGGAACACCAGUGGCGAAGGCGGCUUACUGGACUGUAACUGACGUUGAGGCUCGAAAGCGUGGGGAGCAAACAGGAUUAGAUACCCGUGUAGUC